Molecule: ribosomal RNA, 465 nt
Filed under: uncultured bacterium
Lineage: Bacteria
Description: partial 16S ribosomal RNA
Rfam family: Bacterial small subunit ribosomal RNA
Source: RNAcentral
CCUACGGGAGGCUGCAGUAGGGACUCUUCCACAAUGGGCGCAAGCCUGAUGGAGCAACACCGCGUGAGUGAAGAAGGGUUUCGGCUCGUAAAGCUCUGUUGUUGGAGAAGAACGUUCGUGAGAGUAACUGAUCCCGCAGUUACGGUAUCCAACCAGAAAGUCCCGGCUCACUACGUGCCAGCAGCCGCGGUAAUACAGAGGUGGCAAGCGUUAUCCGGAUUUAUUGGGCGUAAAGCUGGCGCCGGCGGUCGCUUAGGUCUGAUGUGAAAGCCCUCGGCUUAACCGAAGAAGUGCAUCGGAAACCGGGAGACUUGAGUGCAGAAGAGGACAGUGGAACUCCAUGUGUAGCGGUGGAAUGCGUAGAUAUAUGGAAGAACACCAGUGGCGAAGGCGGCUGUCUGGGCUGCAACUGACGCUGAGGCUCGAAAGCAUGGGUAGCGAACAGGAUUAGAUACCCCAGUAGUC